Long non-coding RNA from Anser brachyrhynchus (Pink-footed goose), 1663 nucleotides. The record is from Ensembl. NCBI's taxonomy places the organism in Eukaryota, Metazoa, Chordata, Aves, Anseriformes, Anatidae.
UUUAACCCUCGCCCUCCCGAAUCCACUCGCAUCCCACUAAUGCACUAGCCUUGACACGCUGACCUGCCCCGGCGCCCCCCCCCUGCAUCCCGGAGCCCCCCCGUCCCGGGGGACCGCUGGUGUCACCGUGGCAACCGGUGAUGGUCAGCAGCCGGUGACCUGGGAGCCCUGGAGGGAGCCCUGGCCCUGGCCGGGGUCAGCGGGGUCAAUCAAUCUCAUUGCUAUGCACAGCGCCCUUCGUUAGCUGCCAGCGCCGCCAGCAGCUGCAGACAGAGCGGGGCAUUAAGGAAAACAAAUGGGCCGGAGCCGAGAGGGAGAAGCCCGGAUACGGCCGCAUUUGUCAGGCUCCGUAUCGGCAUGUGGCCAUCGCUCAGCAGCCCGUUAUACCUGGAAACGGCAGGGGAGCGCAGACAGAAGCCGUGUGGAUCUGGGUGUUUCACCAACCUGCGCAAAGCGAGCGGCCAAAUUUCCUGGGCUGCAGCCGCCCCUGGCCAGCGUCGCAGCUGCCCCCUGAGCCCGUCCUGCUCGUCACACCAAUGGGCUGCUCUGGGAGCAGGCAUCCCCGGAGGGUUUCCUCUGCUGCUGCCUGGGCAAACUGAGACAUCCUCUGAGCAUCCCCACGUCCCUGAGCAUCCUGCAUCUCCGAGCAUCCUGCAUCCCUGAGCAUCUCCAUAUCCCGCAGCAUCCCGCAUCCCGCAGCAUCCCACGUCCCUAAGCCAGCAGGUCCCAGGCACGGGGCCGAGGGCGCAGCAGGAGCCCCGCAGGGGUGGAGGGCUGCGGAGGGUGACGGCGACGUAGCACCUACUCUAAUGGGAUCCUCUCCACAAGUAAUUAAGCCUCGGCUAAUGCUAACCGUAAUGUGAUGUAUGUAUGCCUUUAACUAAUCAUUUAUUAGCCUCGUUGAUGGUUUGUCAAUAUUAAUUCAUUUAUUUAAACAACUCCGAGCUGUAAUGAAGAUGUUUGCUUUAAGGGGGAAAAAAGAGAUGGAGCUGCCAGGAGAUUUUUUGUUGACUCGAUGGAUGUCGCUCUGCCCUGGGUGAUGAGCAGCGUCCCUGCCCUCGAAACCCGGCCCCUCGCUGCCAGCGGUGUCCCCAACCUGGUGGCAGCCCCCGGAGCAUCCCGAGGGGCUGCUGUAGGGACCCCCCCCACCCCCCAGCACCUCUGGGCUGGCUGGGAUGGGGCCACCCAAACCAGCUGAGCGCUGUGGCCAGAACAACUUUGUUUCAAAGAAUUUCCAUCAGUUUGACCUUAAAAUGUUCCAGCCAUACUUAGACGCCUGAAGUCAGACCCAAAUGUGCUGCACGACCAGGAACAAUUGGUUUCUGCUGACUUUCGACUUGCUAAUGAUUUCAAAUUGGUUUUCAUUUCAAAUCAAAUUACUUCUAUUUAAUAUUUUUUUGAGGUGGGGGAGAAGGAAAUUGACAAGAAGCUGAAAAAGAUGUAUUUUUUGUCCCAUUUGAUAGCCCAGGUUGGGCUGGAUUUGCUCCUUCUUCUGCAGCCCUUGGGUGCCGAGGCCAGCAGGGUGCUCUCCAGGGGAGCAUCCCCAGGGAAGCUGGGUCCUGUGCCGGGGCUGUGCCAAGCGGCUCCUGCAACACGGGCUUUGGUGCUGGCCCUGGAUAUUGCAGCAGCUGCUUUCAGCUCUCCUCGUCAGCUUCUUAAUAUC